RNAcentral lists this long non-coding RNA (1042 nucleotides) under Sinocyclocheilus grahami. RNAcentral's name for it is "lncRNA (ENSSGRG00000003603.1)". Lineage: Eukaryota; Metazoa; Chordata; Actinopteri; Cypriniformes; Cyprinidae. The record is from RNAcentral.
CCUAGGACAGAUCCUCUGCUAUUUUAUAUAGGACAUAGGAAUGUUGACGUGAGUGUGGACCAAGAGGUGGUUAUGAUGGAAGUCUGGGAAGGGAGUCAUAGUAUUAAAGUAGUUAAUUUUUACAAUCCAUGUGAAAAGUUAAGUAAGGAAGUAUUGGAAAAUAUAAGAGGUAACACAAAUCAGAAAGUAAUAUGGUGUGGUGAUUUCAAUGCCCAUAAUACACUAUGGGGGAGUAUUAAAACAGAUUAUAAUGGGCUGAUUGUGGAAGAAAUGUUAGAUUGGGGACGGUUAGUAUGUAUUAACAAUGGAUGUUUUACAAGAAUAGAUGUAACUCGUGGGUGUAAUUCAGCGUUAGAUAUCACUUUAGUGUCAGAAAAUCUAGCCAGAAAAUGUAAAUGGAAUGUAAGUAAACAAAGUACAAUGGGAAGUGAUCACUAUCCAAUAUGGUGUAAAAUUGGUGUGGACAUCAUACAAACCUUGGUGGAGAGAAUUCCAAGAUGGAAAUUUAAUGCAGCCAACUGGGAGCUUUUUAAAGAAUUGUGUCAUAACAAGAUGUGUGAAAUUGAAGAUGGUAUUGAAAGUAUCGAAGAGUUAAGUAAGAAAAUAAGUGAAGUGUUAAGAAAUACGGCAGAAGAAGUAAUUGGCAAAAAGAAAACUAUAAAUAGUAAAAAAGCAGUCCCGUGGUGGAAUAACGAGUGUAGUAAGGCAAUUAGGGAAAGAAAUAAAGCGAUGAAGAAAGCUAGAAAAUAUGUAUUGUUUAGUGAGUACAUUAACUUUAAGAGAGCACAGGCAAACGUGAGGAGGGAGGUAAGAAAAGCAAAAAGAAAUUACUGGAGAGAAUUCUGUAAUAGAAUUGGGGAAGAAAUUGAAAUCAAUGAAGUUUGGAAUAUGAUUAGGAAGAUGGGAGGGAUUCAGAGAAAUAACAACAUUCCAGUUUUAGUAAAUAAUGGGAAAAUAGCAAUAAAAGACAGUGACAAAGCAGAGAUGGUUAGUGGAAGCAUUCGUAAAGGUGCACAAUAAUGGUAAUAUCUCAGAUAAUAUG